CACACGACUCUCGGCAACGGAUAUCUCGGCUCUCGCAUCGAUGAAGAACGUAACGAAAUGCGAUACCUGGUGUGAAUUGCAGAAUCCCGCGAACCAUCGAGUCUUUGAACGCAAGUUGCGCCCGAGGCCACCUGGCCGAGGGCACGCCUGCCUGGGCGUCACGC
Molecule: ribosomal RNA, 164 nt
Filed under: Aniselytron treutleri
Lineage: Eukaryota; Viridiplantae; Streptophyta; Magnoliopsida; Poales; Poaceae
Description: 5.8S ribosomal RNA
Rfam family: 5.8S ribosomal RNA
About the family: 5.8S ribosomal RNA (5.8S rRNA) is a component of the large subunit of the eukaryotic ribosome.
Source: RNAcentral